Molecule: long non-coding RNA, 470 nt
Filed under: Phoenix dactylifera (date palm)
Lineage: Eukaryota; Viridiplantae; Streptophyta; Magnoliopsida; Arecales; Arecaceae
Description: long non-coding RNA (PDAC_LNC005585)
Source: RNAcentral
CCUGGCCCGUUUCAGCAGGCCAAGCCCAUCUCCAGCACACGUUGGGCCCAGGUCGGCCUUGCUUCGUUAGGCCCCGCCCAGCCCUAGCACCGCUUCUGACCGGCCCAGCACGCCGCUGCUACUCAACUAGGUGAGCCCCGACGAUGACUCGAGCUAAGGCAUCGUCGCAUCGUCCCCAAUUACCACCAAUUUGCCGGUCGUAGGGCAUUUCUUUAGUAAAAGAGCCUCGCCACUUUUUUGGGCUUUAGCCAGCCGUCAGAGUCCGACGAGGACUCGGCCGGACUCGGCCCCUCCUUUGCCGGACUCGGUCCAAGUUGCAUGGAUGCCAGCCCCUGAGUUAACUUAGUGGGUGGCUCGGUCGUCUUCCCCACCUUCCCUUUUGCAGCACCAACCCACUGCGACUGCAUCCGAAUGGUUGCCAUCCACGGCCCAAAGACUGGUCGGCCCUCCUGCUCCACCGUACCUCCCUC